Molecule: ribosomal RNA, 446 nt
Filed under: uncultured organism
Description: partial 16S ribosomal RNA
Rfam family: Bacterial small subunit ribosomal RNA
Source: RNAcentral
CACUCCUGCGGGAGGCAGCAGUGGGGAAUAUUGGACAAUGGGCGCAAGCCUGAUCCAGCCAUGCCGCGUGAGUGAUGAAGGCCCUAGGGUUGUAAAGCUCUUUCACCGGUGAAGAUAAUGACGGUAACCGGAGAAGAAGCCCCGGCUAACUUCGUGCCAGCAGCCGCGGUAAUACGAAGGGGGCUAGCGUUGUUCGGAUUUACUGGGCGUAAAGCGCACGUAGGCGGACUAUUAAGUCAGGGGUGAAAUCCCGGGGCUCAACCCCGGAACUGCCUUUGAUACUGGUAGUCUUGAGUUCGAGAGAGGUGAGUGGAAUUCCGAGUGUAGAGGUGAAAUUCGUAGAUAUUCGGAGGAACACCAGUGGCGAAGGCGGCUCACUGGCUCGAUACUGACGCUGAGGUGCGAAAGCGUGGGGAGCAAACAGGAUUAGAUACCCGAGUAGUCCC